UACGAAGGGUCCGAGCGUUGUCCGGAAUUAUUGGGCGUAAAGGGCUCGUAGGCGGUUUGUCGCGUCGGGAGUGAAAACUCAGGGCUCAACCCUGAGCGUGCUUCCGAUACGGGCAGACUAGAGGUAUGCAGGGGAGAACGGAAUUCCUGGUGUAGCGGUGGAAUGCGCAGAUAUCAGGAGGAACACCGGUGGCGAAGGCGGUUCUCUGGGCAUUACCUGACGCUGAGGGAGCGAAAGCGUGGGUAGCAAAACAGG
RNAcentral lists this ribosomal RNA (255 nucleotides) under uncultured bacterium. RNAcentral describes it as "partial 16S ribosomal RNA". It matches the Rfam family "Bacterial small subunit ribosomal RNA", at positions 524 to 776 of the family's 1533-position model. The record is from RNAcentral.